RNAcentral lists this unclassified non-coding RNA (348 nucleotides) under Hevea brasiliensis (rubber tree). Lineage: Eukaryota; Viridiplantae; Streptophyta; Magnoliopsida; Malpighiales; Euphorbiaceae. The record is from RNAcentral.
GGGAGAGGUAAUAACGGUGCUUCCGGUGCUCCGUCAACAUCGGCCGCGACUAGUUCUGCUUACAAGUUGUUCGGCCGGCAAACCUCUUUCCACCAGAUGAUGGGCGGCGGAAAAGCUGCUGACGUUAUAUUGUGGAGGCGGAGGCGUGUCUCUUUUGGCAUCAUUGUUGCUGCUACAGUUGCUUGGAUCAUUUUUGAGUAUUCAGAGUUACCUUUCUUAUCAGUUUCUUCUGAUGUUUUACUGAUUCUGAUAGUUCUGCUCUUUCUCCGUGCAAACUAUGCAGCCUUCAGGAAGAAACAACUCCCAGCAUUACCAGAGUUAGUCUUGUCAGAAGAAAUGGUUAAUAAU